Molecule: ribosomal RNA, 253 nt
Filed under: uncultured bacterium
Lineage: Bacteria
Description: partial 16S ribosomal RNA
Rfam family: Bacterial small subunit ribosomal RNA
Source: RNAcentral
UACGAGGGGGGCGAGCGUUGUUCGGAAUUAUUGGGCGUAAAGGGUGCGUAGGCGGUUUGGUAAGUCUUGUGUGAAAUCUACAGGCUCAACUUGUAGUCUGCACGAGAAACUGCCGGGCUUGAGUGUGGGAGAGGUGAGUGGAAUUCCUGGUGUAGCGGUGAAAUGCGUAGAUAUCAGGAGGAACACCUGUGGCGAAGGCGGUUCUCUGGGCCUUACCUGACGCUGAGGAGCGAAAGCGUGGGGAGCGAACAGG